Molecule: long non-coding RNA, 376 nt
Filed under: Medicago truncatula (barrel medic)
Lineage: Eukaryota; Viridiplantae; Streptophyta; Magnoliopsida; Fabales; Fabaceae
Description: lncRNA gene9811
Source: RNAcentral
GUUUUCAAACUUAAGAAUUCACCCUAUGGUUUGAAAUAAGCUCCAAGUGUUUAUAGGUGUUUUUAGUAAACAAUAAGACUAGUUUUAAAAUGUUACUUGUAUGAUCAAACUAGAAAUUCUAGGGCAUGUCGCGCAAUAUUGUUCCCGAAAAUGUUUGAAUGUUCAUCAUAUUCAUAGUUUGUUUUAUGAGCAAGAUGAAUGAAACUGUUUUUAGGGUGAAGAUAAUUGUUUUUCGACAUAAAUCAAUAAUGUAAAACAAGUAAAAGACUUAAAAGUUUAAAUGCAAAAACUGAAAGAAAUGUAAAUUGUAUUGAAUUAAAGGUAGUUCAACAAAUCAAGUUACAUACAUUCCGACUCUUUUCUCUCUAUGCUUGUA